This 433-nucleotide ribosomal RNA is filed under the name uncultured bacterium. RNAcentral describes it as "partial 16S ribosomal RNA". It matches the Rfam family "Bacterial small subunit ribosomal RNA", at positions 29 to 507 of the family's 1533-position model. The record is from RNAcentral.
AACGAACGCUGGCGGCAGGCUUAACACAUGCAAGUCGAACGCACCUUUCGGGGUGAGUGGCAGACGGGUGAGUAACGCGUGGGAAUCUACCCUUCUCUACGGGAUAGCUCCGGGAAACUGGAAUUAAUACCGUAUACGUCCUGAGGGAGAAAGAUUUAUCGGGGAAGGAUGAGCCCGCGUUGGAUUAGCUAGUUGGUGGGGUAAAGGCCUACCAAGGCGACGAUUCAUAGCUGGUCUAAGAGGAUGAUCAGCCACAUUGGGACUGAGACACGGCCCAAACUCCUACGGGAGGCAGCAGUGGGGAAUAUUGGACAGUGGGCGCAAGCAUGAACCAGCCAUGCCGCGUGAGUGAUGAAGGCCCUAGGGUUGUAAAGCGCUUUCAGUGGGGACGAUAAUGACGGUACCCACAGAAGAAGCCCCGGCUAACUUCGUG